GCCACGCAGGGUUGCCGCGAGAGCGUCGGGCUGCGGGGCGCCUCCGCCCUCCGUAGGGUGGGCCUGGGAUGCUCCCGGGGCGGCAGGGGGGCCGGAUUCGCGCUCUGCGGGAAGCUUGGGUCCGCUGAGCCCCUCCGCCUCCCCGGAUUCCUCCCCGGGCUCCGGUUCAAAGGCUAACUGUUCGCUGCUCCCCACGGCAGCGCAGGCCGGGCAGGGCGGCCCCUCCUCUCCGCUCCGCGCUGUGCAACAGCCCAAAGAACUCGUCAGCGGAGGCCCUGCUGUCUCAACUCCAGUCUCCCCAGGGCCGGAAGCCGCUGCCUUAGGAAGAUGCGGGCGCUGCCCUGGUCAAACGACAAGUCUGCGACCGGGCAUCCCGCACCCACCGGGACCCAGGACUCCUUCGACGUCGGAGAGGCCCAGACGACCAGCGAGAGGCGCGGUAGGCUAGAGGGAUCCCAGUGCGCAGGGCAGGACCGCGGCGGCCGAAGCGAAGAGUAUACGCGCAUGCGGGGCGGUGUAGGGGACUAGAGCGUCGCGAGCGCGUACGUGGGGCGGGGCGCGGCGCGGCGGCCGAAGCGAAGAGUAUACGCGCAUGCGAGGCGGCGUAGGGGACUAGAGCGGCGCGAGCGCGUACGUGGGGCGGGGCGGGCUGCGGCGGGACAAAUGCAGAGCGCACGCGCUCGGCUCGCUGGCUACUGCACAGGCAAGGAUGGCGCCGCCUCAGCCUUGUCGGGUCCUACGCUGCUGCAGCUGCCGCCUCUUCCAGGCGCACCAGGUAAAAAAGAGUGUCAAGUGGACAUGCAAAGCCUGUGGAGAGAAGCAGUCCUUUUUGCGGGCUUAUGGUGAAGGCUCUGGUGCUGACUGUAGACGCCAUGUCCAAAAAUUAAAUCUACUGCAGGGACAAGUUUCAGAGCUGCCACUCAGGUCUCUAGAAGAAACUGUCAGUGCUGGUGAAGAAGAAAACGUGGGCCACCAGCAGGCUGGGAAUGUGAAGCAGCAGGAAAAAUCGCAGCCCUCAGAGAGUCACUGGCUGAAGUAUCUAGAAAAGGACUCCCAAGAACUGGAGCUGGAAGGAAGAGGAGUGUGUUUCAGCAAACAGCCUUCAUCCAAAACGGAGGAGCCAGGCCCCUGCCUCAGCCAAGACCUGCCUAGAAAAAGGAAGUGGAGCCAGAGCACCGUCCAGCCUCCAUGCAGCCUUGGCAUCCAGGACUCGGGUGGCUCUGAGGUCGCCUGGGAACCCCAGAAGGUCAGUGACAGAGAACAGUUUCUCUGUGGUCCCAGUGACCACUGAGUAUGUGUGGGAUAAUUUUGUCUUUUGUCACAGUUGACAAAGUAUAAGAUUCCUAACCGCAGAAAGCCCAUCUUCCCACCUGGGUUUCUUGUCUUUUCUGUCUGAAGCCAACUCCUUCCUUGGGUCUAUACCCCCUUUUCUCUCCCAUGCCUCUCGUCUCCCAUGAGGGUAACUCAGGACCAAAGAGCAUCCUGACACCUCGGAGCAGCUAAGGUUGGCCAGCAGGGAUUUUCUGGGUCAGGACCAUCUUCUCAUUCUGCAUGGAGCACGGGGACCUUUGUCCAGGCAGGAGUAGUCCGUGGGCCCGCCCUGAAUCCUGGGAGAUGCUUCCCUCCACACUCGCAUUUGCCCAGGUUGAUCUUGAACCCCUGGCAUCAGGUGAUCUGCCCGCCUCAGCCUCCUAAAGUGCUGGGAUUACAGGCGUGAGCCACUGCACCCGGCCUACACCCAACUUUCAGAGCAUCUUUGGUUCCUGGGGUGAGAGAAGCCAGACCCCAGCUUUUCUAUCCCACCGGGAGCUCGGCGCUGCCACCUCUGCAGCUGCAGAACCCAGCAGGCUCUGGAGAGCUGCUCCCAGGGACAGGCUGGCUUGAUAUGGAAGGCGAAACAAGGCAGCAGCCCCUGCCUCCAGGAGAACUCUGCAGACUGCAGCGCCAGGGAGCUGAGGGGUCCUGGGAAGGAG
RNA transcript from Rhinopithecus roxellana (golden snub-nosed monkey), 1973 nucleotides. It is a transcript of the gene named MRN complex interacting protein, with no coding region annotated. The transcript is spliced from 8 exons. NCBI's taxonomy places the organism in Eukaryota, Metazoa, Chordata, Mammalia, Primates, Cercopithecidae. The record is from RefSeq and is a predicted model, not a curated record.